This 706-nucleotide long non-coding RNA is filed under the name Canis lupus familiaris (dog). RNAcentral describes it as "lncRNA (ENSCAFG00000042892.2)". Lineage: Eukaryota; Metazoa; Chordata; Mammalia; Carnivora; Canidae. The record is from RNAcentral.
UUGUUUUAUAUGUAUAUAUAUUUAUGAAUAUAUACACGCAUAUACUUAUUAAUAUAGAAUACACAUAAUAUAUACUAUAUAUUUCAUAAAUAUACGUAAUAUAUACCAUAUAUUUCAUUAUAUAUAUAAAGUUAUGUGUUAUGAUGGAGCAUGUGCUCAGAGAAAAAUAAUCACAUUUAUUCUUUUUAUAGCGAAACACACAGAAAGCAGAAUGGUAAUAAAUAUGAAUUCAGAAGUUAAUGAAUUAUAAAACAGAACGAUUUGCAGCAUUGGUGAAUUCAUUUGGCCAGUUCUAUGAAACUGAUGUCCAUCAAGAUUCAUCCAAAAAAAGAAAUAGGAAAACAUUGAAGAUGGUCACACAAUUCGUAGUUGCCUGGAGAUUCUGCUCUCUUGUUCUUUUGGAUCGCUAAACAUGGCUUGCCUUGAACAUUCUAUUAUUGAAGAAGUAGAUUUACUGAUCAUGGGCAGUCCUGACAACUGCAGAUCUCUUUCGCAAAGGCAGACCUUGCCCUGUGAGAUUGUCAUGAGGAGGAGCUAGCAGGCUAGCUCAGAAAAGAGAGAGAAUGAAAGUUAUCUUACCAGAGGCUCCUCCACAGGAUGACAUGAGGUGAGUUUGUAACACCAAAAAGGCUUAUCACAAUACAAUAUCAUCUUUUUAGCUCCACCUCAAAGCCAAAACUACUUAGUGUGGCAUAGCCAAUGAGGC